CGAACGUUGGCGGCGUGCUUAACACAUGCAAGUCGAACGAGAACGUCCCGGCUUGCCGGGAUUAGUAAAGUGGCGCACGGGUGAGUAACACGUGAGUAAUUUCCCUCUAAGCUUGGGAUAACAUUGCGAAAGCGGUGCUAAUACCGAAUAAGACCACGGUAUCACAUGAUACAGUGGGAAAAGGUGGCCUCUGUAUAUGCUAUCACUUGGAGAUAAGCUCGCGGACCAUUAGCUUGUUGGUAGGGUAACGGCCUACCAAGGCAAAGAUGGUUAGCUGGUCUGAGAGGAUGAUCAGCCACACUGGAACUGAGACACGGUCCAGACUCCUACGGGAGGCAGCAGUGGGGAAUAUUGCGCAAUGGGGGAAACCCUGACGCAGUGACGCCGUGUGAGUGAUGAAGGUUUUCGGAUCGUAAAGCUCUGUCAGAUGGGAAGAAUAAAGGCAGGGAAAAUAUUUCUGCCUGAUGACGGUACCAUCAGAGGAAGCACCGGCUAACUCC
This 500-nucleotide ribosomal RNA is filed under the name uncultured bacterium. RNAcentral's name for it is "bacterial SSU rRNA". It matches the Rfam family "Bacterial small subunit ribosomal RNA", at positions 30 to 504 of the family's 1533-position model. The record is from RNAcentral.